AACGAACGCUGGCGGCAGGCUUAACACAUGCAAGUCGAACGCACCGCAAGGUGAGUGGCAGACGGGUGAGUAACGCGUGGGAACGUGCCCUUCAGUUCGGAAUAACCCAGGGAAACUUGGGCUAAUACCGGAUACGUGCGAGAGCAGAAAGAUUUAUCGCUGAAGGAUCGGCCCGCGUCUGAUUAGCUAGUUGGUGGGGUAAGUGGCCCACCAACGGACGACGAUCAGUAGCNGGUCUGAGAGGA
RNAcentral lists this ribosomal RNA (245 nucleotides) under uncultured bacterium. RNAcentral's name for it is "partial 16S ribosomal RNA". It matches the Rfam family "Bacterial small subunit ribosomal RNA", at positions 29 to 300 of the family's 1533-position model. The record is from RNAcentral.